UACGGAGGGGGCUAGCGUUGUUCGGAAUUACUGGGCGUAAAGCGCACGUAGGCGGCUUUGCAAGUUAGAGGUGAAAGCCCGGGGCUCAACUCCGGAAUUGCCUUUAAAACUGCAUCGCUAGAAUUGUGGAGAGGUAAGUGGAAUUCCGAGUGUAGAGGUGAAAUUCGUAGAUAUCCGGAAGAACACCAGUGGCGAAGGCGACUUACUGGACACAUAUUGACGCUGAGGUGCGAAAGCGUGGGGAGCAAACAGG
Molecule: ribosomal RNA, 253 nt
Filed under: uncultured bacterium
Lineage: Bacteria
Description: partial 16S ribosomal RNA
Rfam family: Bacterial small subunit ribosomal RNA
Source: RNAcentral